CCGGAAGUGCCCUUCCCAUAGGUGGAGGCGGCGGCGGAGCUGCGGGAGCUGGCGGGGGAGGGGCUGGCGGCCAUGGCGGGCGGGGCCGGAGGGGGCGUGGCCUUCGCCGCCGCCCUGCCCCCCAUGCUGGCCUGCCUGCGCUCCUGGGCGGCCGCCAUGCUGGGCGAGGUGGGCGGGGCCCUGCUGGGGGGCGUGGCCCCGGCCCUGCUGCCCCGCCUCGGCCCCGCCCUGGCGGCCGCCGCCCUCCGCGACCCCCACCCCGAGGUGCGCGGCAACGCCCUCUGCAGCCUGGGCCGCCUGGCCGCCAACGGGGCGGGGCAAAGCCCGUAUCCAUGGCAACGGGGGCGGGGCCGGGACGGGCGCCAUGGCAACGGGGUGGGAAAGGGGCGGGGCUUGGCUCAUUGCCAUGGCAACGGGGUGGGGGGGAGGGGCGGGAGGGUGGGUGCCAUAGCAACCGGUGCUGGGGGGAGGCCACGCCCCCUGGUUGCCUAGCAACCCCCUUAUAGGAGCGAGGCCACGCCCCCCUGUUGCCAUAGCAACUCCUGCCAGAGAGGAGGCCACGCCCCCUGGUCACCUAGCAACCCCUUAAUAGGACCGAGGCCACGCCCCCUUCUGUAGCCACGCCCCCCGUUGCCUAGCAACCCGCAGCGAGGCCCCGCCCCCUCCUCCUCCUGCACCCCGCUGGGUCCUAGCGCCCCUCCCUCCCCCCCCCCCCUUCCCUAGCAACCCCUUUAGGCCCCUC
Molecule: long non-coding RNA, 742 nt
Filed under: Anas platyrhynchos platyrhynchos (common mallard)
Lineage: Eukaryota; Metazoa; Chordata; Aves; Anseriformes; Anatidae
Description: lncRNA (ENSAPLG00000024679.1)
Source: RNAcentral